GAUGAAGAACGUAGUGAAAUGCGAUAAGUAAUGUGAAUUGCAGAAUUCAGUGAAUCAUCGAAUCUUUGAACGCACAUUGCGCCCGCCAGUAUUCUGGCGGGCAUGCCUGUUCGAGCGUCAUUUCAACCAUCAAGCCCCCGGGCCUGUGUUGGGGACCUGCGGCUGCCCGCAGGCCCCGAAAACCAGUGGCGGGCUCGCUGUCACCCCGAGCGUAGUAGCAACACCUCGCCCAGGGAGUGCCGCGGGCACCGGCCGUAAAACCUCCUCUCGCCCCCCCCCGCGGGAGGGAACACCCCAAAGGUUGACCUCGGAUCAGGUAGGAAGACCCGCUGAACUUAAGCAUAUCAAUAAGCGGAGGA
This 359-nucleotide unclassified non-coding RNA is filed under the name soil metagenome. RNAcentral describes it as "partial contains 5.8S ribosomal RNA, internal transcribed spacer 2, and large subunit ribosomal RNA". The stretch from base 1 to 120 matches the Rfam family "5.8S ribosomal RNA", at positions 35 to 154 of the family's 154-position model. The record is from RNAcentral.